This 484-nucleotide ribosomal RNA is filed under the name uncultured bacterium. RNAcentral's name for it is "partial 16S ribosomal RNA". It matches the Rfam family "Bacterial small subunit ribosomal RNA", at positions 30 to 507 of the family's 1533-position model. The record is from RNAcentral.
AUUGAACGCUGGCGGCAGGCCUAACACAUGCAAGUCGAGCGGAUGAAGGGAGCUUGCUCCUGGAUUCAGCGGCGGACGGGUGAGUAAUGCCUAGGAAUCUGCCUGGUAGUGGGGGAUAACGUCCGGAAACGGGCGCUAAUACCGCAUACGUCCUGAGGGAGAAAGUGGGGGAUCUUCGGACCUCACGCUCUCAGAUGAGCCUAGGUCGGAUUAGCUAGUUGGUGGGGUAAAGGCUUACCAAGGCGACGAUCCGUAACUGGUCUGAGAGGAUGAUCAGUCACCCUGGAACUGAGACACGGUCCAGACUCCUACGGGAGGCAGCAGUGGGGAAUAUUGGACAAUGGGCGAAAGCCUGAUCCAGCCAUGCCGCGUGUGUGAAGAAGGUCUUCGGAUUGGAAAGCACUUUAAGUUGGGAGGAAGGGCAGUAAGUUAAUACCUUGCUGUUUUGACGUUACCAACAGAAUAAGCACCGGCUAACUUCGUG